AAACCAAAGAAUUAUUUAGGCCAAAAUGUUAAUAGUUUACACAGGUAUUAAUGCAAAAUGAUUCCUGCCCAGUGUUAGAAUGUCAAACUGAACAAAUUCAAUGCAAAGUAACUAUGACUCUUUUAAGGUCUCAUCAUCUAAUUAGUGAUGAGCAUGAGUGGAUGAAUGAGAUU
Molecule: ribosomal RNA, 173 nt
Filed under: Marmota monax (woodchuck)
Lineage: Eukaryota; Metazoa; Chordata; Mammalia; Rodentia; Sciuridae
Description: Eukaryotic large subunit ribosomal RNA
Rfam family: Eukaryotic large subunit ribosomal RNA
Source: Rfam by way of RNAcentral